Molecule: ribosomal RNA, 253 nt
Filed under: uncultured bacterium
Lineage: Bacteria
Description: partial 16S ribosomal RNA
Rfam family: Bacterial small subunit ribosomal RNA
Source: RNAcentral
UACGUAGGGUGCGAGCGUUGUUCGGAUUCAUUGGGCGUAAAGGGUGCGUAGGCGGCGAGGCAAGUCGGACGUGAAAUCUCGGGGCUUAACCCCGAAACUGCGUUCGAUACUGCCUUGCUUGAGGACUGGAGAGGAGACUGGAAUUCCUGGUGUAGCAGUGAAAUGCGUAGAUAUCAGGAGGAACGCCAAUGGCGAAGGCAAGUCUCUGGACAGUUCCUGACGCUCAUGCACGAAGGCCAGGGGAGCAAACGGG